Molecule: long non-coding RNA, 2612 nt
Organism: Grus americana (Whooping crane)
Lineage: Eukaryota; Metazoa; Chordata; Aves; Gruiformes; Gruidae
Exons: 2
Source: RefSeq, a predicted model, not a curated record
GGUUUUAGCUGAGAGGGUUGAUUUUCUUCAUAGUAGCUAGUGUGAGGAUAUGUUUUGGAUUUGUGCUGGAGACAGUGUUGAUAAUAUAGAGAUGUUUUUGUUCUAUGGACUUAUUGUUGAGCAGUGUUUACACAGGGCCAAGGCCUUUUCUGCUUCUUGCACUGCCCUGCCAGCGGGAUGGCUGGGAGUGCACAAGAAGUUGGGAGGAGACAGACAGGACAGGUGACCCAAACUGACCAAAGGGAUAUUCCAUACCAUAUGACGUCAUGCUCAGUUUAUAAGGAGCUUGGGGGGAAGAGAAGGGGGGGGCGGCGGCGUUCGGAGUGAUGGCGUUUGUCUUCCCAAGUAACCGUUAUGCGUGACAGGGCCCUGCUUCCCUGGAGAUGGCUGAACACCUGCCUGCCCAUGGGGAGUGGUGAAUGAAUUCCUUGCUUUGCUUUGCUUGUGCGCGCGGCUUUUGCUUUACCUAUUAAAAUGUCUUUAUCUCAACCCACGAGUUUUCUCACUUUAACUUUUCCAAUUCUCUCCCCCAUCCCGAUGGGGGGGGGGAGCGAGUGAGCGGCUGCGUGGUGCUUAGCUGCCGGCUGGGGUAAAACCACGACAGUCCUUUUUUGGCGCCCAACGUGGGGCACGAAGGGUUCGAGAUAAUGACAGAUUUGAUUGGAAUGUGCUAGAUGAUUGAAUUUAUAGUUGCUAUUAGCUAUUAAUUGGCAGGCUCCUGUGCUUGCCAUGGGGCUUGCUUGCCUUACUGUAUAUUAGAGGCUAGUGCUCGUUAGUGGCUGCUUUUUGCUUUCGCUGCUCGCUGUACUGCUGUACUGCUUAUCAUCUUACUGUGCUGUGCCUGGGAACGUUUUGAUAACAGCAAUGGCGAUGUGCCUGGCCUGGCAGAUGGCCAGGGCACCGCUGCUGUUUCUGUGCUGCUGUCCUGGACAGGCUGGAACUCCUGUGUGCACUCGAGUCAAAGGGACUGUGACCUGUGGAUGAGUCCACGUCGGAGCAGGACACCCCAAAGCGUCUGUGGCUGUGGUUGUGUCUGUGCCGCAGCAGGUAUAUCUCGAAGUGUCUGGGGCCGCGGUUGCAUCUGUGCCGCAGCAGGUAUAUCUCGAGGUGUCUGGGGCCGUGGUUGCGUCUGUGCCGCAGCAGGUAUAUCUCGAAGUGUCUGGGGCCAUGGUUGCGUCUGUGCCGCAGCAGGUAUAUCUCGAAGUGUCUGGGGCCAUGGUUGUGUCUGUGCCGCAGCAGGUAUACCUCUGGAAGGAUUGUGAGCCAAGGAUAAGUCCAUGUUGGAGAAGGUACACCUUGAAGCAUCAGUGGCUGUGCAUGGGGUCAUGCUGGAACAUUUCAAAGUGUGUGGCUAUGGACGAGCCCAUGACAGGGCAGGUUUAUUUCUGAGAGGACUGAAGUGACUGUGACUGUGGACAAGGCCACGCUGGAGCAAGUAUAUCUAUGAAGGUAUUGUGGCCCAUGGAGAAGGCCAUGCUGGAACAGGUGCACCUCGAAGUGACUGUGGCUGUGGAUAAGUCUAUGCCACAGCAGGUAUACCCCUGGAGAGACUGUGGCUCGUGGAUAAGGCUCCACUUGGAGCAGGUACACCCCUAAGGGACUGCAGUCUGUGGAUAAGUUCAAGCCGGAGCAGGGGCAAGGGGAGGUGUUCAUUGCAAUGGUAAACUUGAUGGUCUGACUCGAAGGGACCAGGGGUGGAGAUUGUAAUGGAAAUACCUUUAAAUUGUUGUAACCCAUGAUUUGAGUUGCAUGUUACAGGAAUUACUAUAGCAGAAAUCACCUGAACCAAUGGAGAACAAGCCUUACAAGAAGCAGCGCAAGUGCAGCAGUGGACCUGACCUGAGCUGGUUUUGGUGCCCAGUAACUCCACACGUCAACCACCUCUCCUUUUCUGAGUGACCACCAUGGUGGAUGGAGCCCAAGGUUGUGGACCAAGUCAACCCAAUGGACAUUUUGUGGACAUUUAUGGACAUUUUAAAAGGGUGGUCCACAGACUAAGGGAAUGAUAUCAGCAUAUUAUAUCAAGGGAUGAGAAGGGUGGUGGUGCUUAAUGAGGAUGUAUUGAAUUGUGUGGGACCUGAGCAUGACGUAAAUAGUAUGGAAUAAGGGGUGGAUAAUGUCCUGGUUUUAGCUGAGAGGGUUGAUUUUCUUCAUAGUAGCUAGUGUGAGGAUAUGUUUUGGAUUUGUGCUGGAGACAGUGUUGAUAAUAUAGAGAUGUUUUUGUUCUAUGGACUUAUUGUUGAGCAGUGUUUACACAGGGCCAAGGCCUUUUCUGCUUCUUGCACUGCCCUGCCAGCGGGAUGGCUGGGAGUGCACAAGAAGUUGGGAGGAGACAGACAGGACAGGUGACCCAAACUGACCAAAGGGAUAUUCCAUACCAUAUGACGUCAUGCUCAGUUUAUAAGGAGCUUGGGGGGAAGAGAAGGGGGGGGCGGCGGUGUUCGGAGUGAUGGCGUUUGUCUUCCCAAGUAACCGUUAUGCGUGACAGGGCCCUGCUUCCCUGGAGAUGGCUGAACACCUGCCUGCCCAUGGGGAGUGGUGAAUGAAUUCCUUGCUUUGCUUUGCUUGUGCGCGCGGCUUUUGCUUUACCUAUUAAAAUGUCUUUAUCUCAA